Molecule: ribosomal RNA, 321 nt
Filed under: Alcanivorax sp.
Lineage: Bacteria; Pseudomonadati; Pseudomonadota; Gammaproteobacteria; Oceanospirillales; Alcanivoracaceae
Description: bacterial LSU rRNA
Rfam family: Bacterial large subunit ribosomal RNA
Source: RNAcentral
GUUCGGUCCCUAUCUGCCGUGGGCGUUGGAGAUUUGAGAGGAGCUGCUCCUAGUACGAGAGGACCGGAGUGGACGAACCUCUGGUGUUCCGGUUGUCACGCCAGUGGCACUGCCGGGUAGCUACGUUCGGACGGGAUAACCGCUGAAAGCAUCUAAGCGGGAAGCCUCCCUCAAGAUGAGAUCUCCCUGGGCACUUGAUGCCCCUAAAGGGCCGUGGAAGACCACCACGUUGAUAGGCGGGAUGUGGACGCGCUGUGAGGCGUGAAGCUAACCCGUACUAAUUGCCCGUGCGGCUUGACCAUAUAACGCCAAAGCGGUCAC